AACGAACGCUGGCGGCAGGCCUAACACAUGCAAGUCGAGCGCCCUUUCGGGGGAGCGGCGGCCGGGUGAGUAACGCGUGGGAAUAUGCCCUUCUCUACGGAAUAGCCUCGGGAAACUGAGAGUAAUACCGUAUACGCCCUUUGGGGGAAAGAUUUAUCGGGGAAGGAUUAGCCCGCGUUGGAUUAGGUAGUUGGUGGGGUAAUGGCCUACCAAGCCGACGAUCCAUAGCUGGUUUGAGAGGAUGAUCAGCCACACUGGGGCUGAGACACGGCCCAGACUCCUACGGGAGGCAGCAGUGGGGAAUCUUAGACAAUGGGGGCAACCCUGAUCUAGCCAUGCCGCGUGAGUGAUGAAGGCCUUAGGGUUGUAAAGCUCUUUCAGCUGGGAAGAUAAUGACGGUACCAGCAGAAGAAGCCCCGGCUAACUCCGUG
RNAcentral lists this ribosomal RNA (431 nucleotides) under uncultured bacterium. RNAcentral's name for it is "partial 16S ribosomal RNA". It matches the Rfam family "Bacterial small subunit ribosomal RNA", at positions 29 to 507 of the family's 1533-position model. The record is from RNAcentral.